UGUUUGAAUAUAAUUCUAAUUUGCAUAUUAUUUGGCUUUGGCUCUGGCGCCCUCCCGUUUUCCAUUUGGAGUCGAAUGGAUGGAUGGAUGGCGGAGGAUGGAAUGGAACCUUUUGGCGUACAUAAUGGGCUGGAAAAUCUUAUACAAGGCAACGCAAUCUGCAGGAUUGCAGCGGCCACAAAGCUCUUAAAGUAAUUAGUGGCAUAAAUUAAAUGCCCCAACCCCUCAGAGUGGACUUCUGCCCCGAAAACAACAAUGGGCAAUUGUUUGAAUGACCCUUGUGCCACUUUUAAUUGUUGCAAUGCUGCGAAACUUUUCGACCUCACCGGCCAAGGCGAAAGCGAAAGAGUUGCGGAAAAAGGCCUCUAGCCUUUUUGUCACCGCCGUGGAAAAUUGAGAGUAAGGGGGGAAAUGGUGGAAAAUCGGGGAGCGAUUUCCUCACGACGCACUGCAACAAAAGCGACCGACCGCGGGGCAUAAAUAACUUUUUUUAUGCGUUUCAUAUGGGCUUUUUAUGUGAACAGAAGGUCGACGCACAAGCCACGCAAAAAUUCGCCCAAAAUGAGGAAGAAAGUUGACACUUUUUAAAUUGAAUAUAAAAUAAAAUAAAUUGUGCGUUAUUU
Molecule: non-coding RNA, 623 nt
Organism: Drosophila melanogaster (fruit fly)
Lineage: Eukaryota; Metazoa; Arthropoda; Insecta; Diptera; Drosophilidae
Source: Ensembl